RNAcentral lists this ribosomal RNA (468 nucleotides) under uncultured bacterium. RNAcentral describes it as "partial 16S ribosomal RNA". It matches the Rfam family "Bacterial small subunit ribosomal RNA", at positions 28 to 507 of the family's 1533-position model. The record is from RNAcentral.
GACGAACGCUGGCGGCGUGCUUAACACAUGCAAGUCGAACGGAAAGGCCCUGCUUUUGUGGGGUGCUCGAGUGGCGAACGGGUGAGUAACACGUGAGUAACCUGCCCUUGACUUUGGGAUAACUUCAGGAAACUGGGGCUAAUACCGGAUAGGAGCUCCUGCCGCAUGGUGGGGGUUGGAAAGUUUCGGCGGUUGGGGAUGGACUCGCGGCUUAUCAGCUUGUUGGUGGGGUAGUGGCUUACCAAGGCUUUGACGGGUAGCCGGCCUGAGAGGGUGACCGGCCACAUUGGGACUGAGAUACGGCCCAGACUCCUACGGGAGGCAGCAGUGGGGAAUAUUGCACAAUGGGCGGAAGCCUGAUGCAGCAACGCCGCGUGCGGGAUGACGACCUUCGGGUUGUAAACCGCUUUCGCCUGUGACGAAGCGUGAGUGACGGUAAUGGGUAAAGAAGCACCGGCUAACUACGUG